GCAUCUGCCCUCUUCCUCUCUCCCUGGUCCGCCCCAAGCCCCUCUUCCUCCCUGGCGGCGGGGAGAGGUGACCACGGGCAGAUUUUGGGGAGCAGCGCGAGCAUCAAGCAAUGGUUGAUGCCAAGAUGAGCUUCCCCUCGACUCCUCUCUCUCUCUCUCUCUCUCUCUCUCUCUCACACCAUCACACAAUAAUCUCCUCCUGAUCUUGCUAUUUGUGUAUAAUGCAUCUUCAUAUGGCAUUGAUGUUCUUCCGAUUUGCAGGCAUGUCAAGAUCAAGGAUAUUUAAACUUGUUUCUUUUAUUGAUGAAAGAUUUCAGAUGCUUCUGUAGAUGAAUUUCUGGUGUUAAUUGUCCCAAAGAUGGAACGAUUUGUUCCACGGAAUUUAUCUCCUUAGUUGCAUUCCAUUUACAGUUCAUGUUCAUGGCCUUGCUGUGGUUGCACGGUGGUUCGUGGGGAACAGGAGCAAAUACCUUUGCUACAACCAAGGUCUUGACAAACCAGUCAGGGAGAGAUAGGAUCGUUUUGCAGGGGUUGUUAUGUUCUGUCCCCCGUGCCGCUGGACGAGAAAGAGUAGAGGAUCCAGGAAAGCAACCGCAGGAGCCGGAGAAGACGUCCCCAGGGCUUCUACGAGGACCAAAAGCAUUCCUUUCAGCAAUCUGGGGUUGUUAAGUAGAGGGUCGGGAUUGCCCUGCGCAGAUGCUGAAGUUCCUGGAUGUAAACGCACACUUGCCUACAUGGGCCAAAAUACUAUUUGAGAUAAUGAUACUUGUUUUGCAUAUUUGCAUCUCGAAGAAGCUUGCCCACUAUUGUAGGUCAACAUUUUCUUGCUUGCUUGUGGAAAAACUGGUUCUCGUUCAGUUAUGUGUGUCAGUCUGAUAGAAGAUGGACACCCCUCUUCAAGUUGGUUUAUGGGCUUGCGGAGUGUGAGAAUUUACGAAAAUCUCUGCCUUAUAGGGCCGGUUCAUAUUGACAUGGAGGAGGCACAGAGGUUUAUUGCUUCUGUUUGUGGGAUGGCCUUGAGGGGAGACCAAAGCAAACAUCAACAUGUUCAAGGUACAUACUGAAGGAUGUUCUGAGGCUAGCACCUGGUUUAGAAGUUUUGAAAUUCACAACAAUACCUCAUAAUUUUGAUUUGAUAUCCAGAAUGCUAAUUGAAGAAUGAGCCUAUGAACUGCAUUAUAUUUUGUAAUAUAUCCUUAUAUAUGGUGCUUGUGGCAUUUUUCUUGCAAUUAUAAGUUUAAAUUUAUGGGUAUUUAUAGAGUCCCCCUUUCUUUUUCCGCAAGGGGCAGUAGCUGUGCCAUUCGAUUUGAAGGACAAAGAGUUGAUCACAAAGGGGUAGCAUUUAGGAUAUAUAUACAAGAGUAUAGAACCAAAUUAUAUGAUGUAAUUGACCACUAUUUUUAUUAACUUCUCUUACACAAUGUUCACGAGUUCAUGUACAUUUUAUUGUGUCA
Triticum dicoccoides is the source of this 1454-nucleotide long non-coding RNA. RefSeq lists it as uncharacterized. The transcript has 9 exons. NCBI's taxonomy places the organism in Eukaryota, Viridiplantae, Streptophyta, Magnoliopsida, Poales, Poaceae. The record is from RefSeq and is a predicted model, not a curated record.